Molecule: long non-coding RNA, 227 nt
Filed under: Lotus japonicus
Lineage: Eukaryota; Viridiplantae; Streptophyta; Magnoliopsida; Fabales; Fabaceae
Description: long non-coding RNA (LJAP_LNC000240)
Source: RNAcentral
UUGGGAAUUGGGUUUAGAGAGAGAAGUAAUUCUCUCUUGGGUUAGAGAAAGUGUUUGGUAUCCUUCCUUGUAUCUUUCCCCAAUUGGGGAUUAAGGUUCUUCAUCAAUAUGCUACUGUUAUUUUUCUGGGUUCUAUCACCAAAUAAAAACACUCAUGCAACACUGCAACAAAGGGUACUCUAUACUAUAAUAUUUCUGAAACCAAGAGUGGCAACUCUCAUAAUUGU